UUUCCCCUUUUUAAAAGGACACCAUCCCCAUGGGGGCCCAGUGUGCAAUGGCUGCAAACAGCAGCCUCCUUGGUAGUGUAUGCAACCUGUUGCCUGUACAGGUAGCCCUAAGGGACCUUGGAGACAACU
Small nucleolar RNA from Cervus hanglu yarkandensis (Yarkand deer), 129 nucleotides. Its record names the gene SNORA70. It matches the Rfam family "Small nucleolar RNA SNORA70". From Rfam's summary of the family: snoRNA U70 seems to be exclusive to mammals and is a member of the H/ACA class of snoRNA which contain H (ANANNA) and ACA box motifs. H/ACA box snoRNAs are involved in the conversion of uridines to pseudouridines (5-ribosyluracil) a constituent of structural RNAs (transfer, ribosomal, small nuclear, and small nucleolar). The record is from Ensembl. NCBI's taxonomy places the organism in Eukaryota, Metazoa, Chordata, Mammalia, Artiodactyla, Cervidae.